GCAAGUUAAAAGAAGUAUAUAUACAUAAAAGAAAUCAGAGAAGUUAAAAAGAGCACAGAGCAGGACAAUAUACAAAGAUGACUGCCAAUGAUAUGCCAAAAAACGAGACACUAUAUAUUUAUAUAUAGCCUAAUCAAAGCAACAGCAUUCGGGCUUCAUUGUAAUGGUUCAAGUAAUACACAAAAAAGGAAGGAGGAAAACGUGCACAUGGAUGUACAUUAAGUGUUAUAAGUGCAAUCAUACACAUGAAAUAUGGGAGGGAUGAAGAAGCAGAGAGAGAAAAAAAUAAAACCAUAAUCCUCAACUACAACUAAACUCAUCUAAAACUUUAACAAAAGCCA
This 341-nucleotide unclassified non-coding RNA is filed under the name Hevea brasiliensis (rubber tree). The record is from RNAcentral. Lineage: Eukaryota; Viridiplantae; Streptophyta; Magnoliopsida; Malpighiales; Euphorbiaceae.